AGUUCGAUUAUGGCUCAGAUUGAACGUCAUGAUGCUUCUAUACAUGCAAGUCGAACGGCAGCACGGACUUCGGUCUGGUGGCGAGUGGCGAACGGGUGAGUAAUGUAUCGGAACGUGCCUAGUAGCGGGGAUAACUACGCGAAAGGUAGCUACUACCGCAUAAUACGCCCUUCGGGGGAAAGCGGGGACCUUCGGGCCUCGCACUAUUAGAGCGGGCUGAUAUCGGAUUAGCUAGUUGGUGGGGUAACGGCUCACCAAGGCGACGAUCCGUAGCUGGUUUGAGAGGACGGACCAGCCACACUGGGACCGAGACACGGCUCAGACUCCUACGGGAGGCAGCAGUGGGGAAUUUUUGACAAUGGGGAAACCUGAUCCGUCAUCCGCGUGCGAUGAAGGCUUUCGGGUUGUAAAGCACUUUUGGCAGGAAAGAAAUGGUACGGGGAUAAUACCCCGUGCAACUGACGGUACCUGCAGAAUAAGCACCACACUACGCUGCGCAGCCGCGGUACGGUAGGUGCAAGCGUUAAUCGGAAUUACUGGGCGGAAGCGUGCGCAGGCGGUUCGGAAAGAAAGAGGAAAUCCCAGAGCUUAACUUUGGAACUGCAUUUUUAACUACCGCUAGAGUGUGUCAGAGGGAGGUGGAAUUCCGCGUGUAGCAGUGAAAUGCGUAGAUAUGCGGAGGAACACCGAUGGCGAAGCGCAGCCUGGGAUAACACUGACGCUCAUGCACGAAAGCGUGGGGAGCAAACAGAUUAGAUGGGCCCUGGUAGUCCACGCCCUAAACGAUGUCAACUAGCUGUUGGGGCUUCCCGGGCCUUGGUAGCGCAGCUAACGCGUGAAGUUGACCGCCUGGGGAGUACGGUCGCAAGAUUAAAACCUCAAAGGAAUUGACGGGGACCCGCACAAGCGGUGGAUGAUGGGAUUAAUUCGCUGGAUGCAACGCGAAAACCUUACCUACCCUUGACAUGGUUCGGAAUCCCGAAGAGAUUUGGGAGUGCUCGCAAGAGAACCGGAAACACAGGUGCCGUAUACGUCGUCAGCUCGUGUCAGAGAUGGGUUAAGUCCCGCAACGAGCGCAACCUCUUGGUCAUUGCUGCUACGAAAGGGCACUUCAUCGAGACUGCCGUGGACAAACCGGAGGAAGGUGGGGAUGACGUCAAGUCCUCAUGGCCCUUAUGGGUAGGGCUUCACACGUCAUACAAUGGUCGGGACAGAGGGUCGCCAACCCGCGAGGGGGAGCCAAUCCCAGAAACCCGAUCGUAGUCCGGAUCGCAGUCUGCAACUCGACUGCGUGAAGUCGGAAUCGCUAGUAAUCGCGGAUCAGCAUGUCGCGUAAUACGUUCCCGGGUCUUGUACACACCGCCCGUCACACCAUGGGAGUGGUUUUACCAGAAGUAGUUAGCCUAACCGUAAGGAGGGCGAUUACCACGGUAGGAUUCAUGAUCAGUGAAGUCGUACUGGCGGUAAC
RNAcentral lists this ribosomal RNA (1468 nucleotides) under uncultured Bordetella sp. Its description in RNAcentral is "partial 16S-23S ribosomal RNA intergenic spacer". It matches the Rfam family "Bacterial small subunit ribosomal RNA". Lineage: Bacteria; Pseudomonadati; Pseudomonadota; Betaproteobacteria; Burkholderiales; Alcaligenaceae. The record is from RNAcentral.